UCUGCCUCUCUCGUCGUCCAGGUCGUCCUGUCUCUUGCCAGACAGAUACUUCUCGAGCUCCAAAAGCCGCCGCCGCCGCCGCCGCCACAUGCCUGAAUCCCAAUCCCGGCUCCACUCCGGAGCUGCCGCGCCCACCUUGCCAGCAAGCUCCCGCACCUCCAGCGACUGGCGCCCCUGCAGUGAACCUUCUGCUCCAGCGCGGCAGCGCCUGGCAAGCUCUUCCACGCCAGCAUCGGCGGAGCUGAUACACGAGGCGGAGGCGAGAGGACUGGGAGAGCGUGCGUGUCGGUUGACGCUGCUCCUGCUCCUGUUCGAGCAAGGCGAAACAAAGAUGUGAAGAGAUUGAAAUCUAAAGUGCUAAAAAUUGUGGUGAAGACAUGGAGAUGGCCAUAUGUUGAACUAAAACAUACCUCUUAAGAUGGACGUCGUAACAUAACACGAUCAAUCGAGCCUUCUUUUGUUGGUGGUCGCACAGAUCGCCAUGGAAUGGAUCUAGAAGAAAGAACUGAUGGUGUGUAGCCUUCUUUCAUGAAUUGCCAUCAUCGAUGGUCAACUACCAGAACACGAAGGGGGUGGCCUUAUCCUGCUUAAUGACAACUGCUACCAAAUUAAAUAAAGAUGAUCAUGCCAAACAAGUUAUGUAAGAGCGUCCCAAUCCAAAGAUUGCACUAGAAAACAAAAAUUCAAUUUAGAUACCA
Molecule: long non-coding RNA, 698 nt
Organism: Triticum aestivum (bread wheat)
Lineage: Eukaryota; Viridiplantae; Streptophyta; Magnoliopsida; Poales; Poaceae
Exons: 2
Source: RefSeq, a predicted model, not a curated record